Molecule: small RNA, 16 nt
Filed under: Arabidopsis thaliana (thale cress)
Lineage: Eukaryota; Viridiplantae; Streptophyta; Magnoliopsida; Brassicales; Brassicaceae
Description: ATSL232220
Source: RNAcentral
AUAAAGAAGAGAAAAC